RNAcentral lists this ribosomal RNA (576 nucleotides) under uncultured eukaryote. RNAcentral's name for it is "bacterial SSU rRNA". It matches the Rfam family "Eukaryotic small subunit ribosomal RNA", at positions 189 to 819 of the family's 1831-position model. The record is from RNAcentral.
AAAGCCGAAAGGCUGUAUUUAUUAGUUUCAGACCAGCAUGGCGCAGCCAUGUGGUGAGGAAUCAUAAUAACUCGUCGGAGCGCCUCGCGGCGCUGCAUCAGUCAAGUUUCUGCCCUAUCAGCUUUUGAUGGUAGUGUAUUGGACUACCAUGGCGAUAACGGGUAACGGGGAAUUGGGGUUCGAUUCCGGAGAGGGAGCCUGAGAGACGGCUACCAUUUCUAUGGAAGGCAGCAGGCGCGUAAAUUACCCAAUCCUGACGCAGGGAGGUAGUUAAUAGAAAUAAUAGGUUCGGCUCUUUCGAGCUCUGAACAUAUAAUGAGUCUACUUUAAAGCACUUAACGAAUCCUAUUGGAGGGCAAGUCUGGUGCCAGCAGCCGCGGUAAUUCCAGCUCCAAUAGCGUAUAUUAAAGUUGUUGCAGUUAAAAAGCUCGUAGUUGAAACGCCGGCGCGGUCGCGCCUGUCCGCAAGGCCCGGUGAUACUGUAAAAAGUUUUGCCGGGGCGCCCGGACUUUUACUGUGAGAAAAAUAGAGUGCUUAGAGCAGGUGUCCGCUUGAAUAGUCUAGCAUGGAAUAAUG